AGGCAUAGCGCAUGGGUUUGGCACAGACAAGUGUUUUUGGAGGCAAGGAAGGAUUUCGAAGGUUUUUUUUUUUUUUUAAUUUUCAGAGGGGUCUGGAAGGUUUAUAUUACUCUUCUGUAGAUGUGAUCUACUUUCUCUUUUUCUCUUGUGUUCUAGCUUGGCAAUCCGACCUCAGCAAAUCUUCUUUCCUAGGAAGAGGCUUGAAUGGCACAACGUGAAAAAAGCGGGGUGUUUCGCAUUCUGUUUCAGCACAUACCCUACAGGGAGACAAGGAGAGGACUGAGCACUGGGAUCAAAUAGAUAUGUCUAAUCCAUCUUCCAUAUGGCAACCCUUGAAGAUAUAGACAGCCUCAGUCUUAUUAAUUACCUAAGUAGAAGGUCAGCUUCUGUCCCAGAGGAGGAACACCUGGGAAAUGAGGAUGAAGGUUGCAUGUCUUUGCAAGAUACCUUCCUUCAAUAUGCAUCCAUAUGGAUUAUAUUGUACAUUUUGCAUAUGCAUAUGUAUGUAUAUGUAUAGACACACGUGUGCAUACGCAUGCAUUACAUAGCCCAGUUACAUAAGACACUCUUCAUUGGUGGUGACUGAUUACUCAGUGCUUCACAGCAAUGUAAGGGGUACAGUUGGUGAGAGAGAAGAGAGAUCGCAGUUCUCCUGGGUUCCAGUUCUUAGAGAGAAGACACCGGGUUUCCCAAUCUCUUUGGGAUGUAAGGGAUGACAGGCUGCUUUGUGUGGCUUUGCUUUUCUGAGUCACCAGUACUUAACAUGGUACUUGGUCCAUAGUGGGUGUUUCAGAAAUGUUUGUUGACUUGAUAACUGUCAGGAAGAGAACAUUUCCCAUUUCCAUUUUGCUAGGACUGUCCCUCCACUUGUAGCUUUAACUCCUGAAUCCGGCAGCAUGGUUUUGUUUUCCAGGACAUGAGGUCUGCAGAUGACAGCUUAGCCAUAGAAGGAUCUGUGAAGCUUCUGCUAUAGAAACAAGGAUAGGAGAGGUAUGUGCAGAUUUGGAUGGUGGGAAGUGACUAAAGGACUUAAACUUUUGACUUAGAUAUUUGACAGCAUCAGUGUUGAUCCUUCCCCAAACUUCUGUUUACAAACCUCAUUUCAGCAGAAUGCUAAGGGGAUUAAAGAGCAACCGCAGUAAUAACAGACAGAAGGUGAAGAUCUCCAUCUGAGUAUGAUGUCCUGUCACAUUCUUCCAGGGUCUUAAAACAGUUCCUUAGAGACUCACUUACUUUGUUCUUGGCAUACAUUUAGAGAUCCUCUGUCCUGCCUGCAGUUUGUCAGAGUCUGCCCCGUAGUCCCUGGGAUCAGUAACGGCUUUGUACUUUAGCAGCUUAGGUGAUGCAGUAGAAAGAGUGCUAGGGCUCGGGUCAGAAAGUCUCAUCUUCAUGAGUUCAAAUCCAGCCUCAAACAUUUACUAGCUGUGUGAGCCUGGGCAAAUCACUUAAUCCUUUAAUCAUUUGUAAAAGAAGUUGAAGGAAAUGGAAAGUCACUCCAGCAUCCAUGCCAAUAAAACCCCAAAUGGAGUCACAAAGAGUAGGACAAAACUAAAAUGACUGAACAACAACCACAAUGUACUUCACUUAAUUGUGAAAAAACUUCGUUAAAAAUAAAUAUAUGAUACACUGUGGUAUAAUCGAACGUAAUGGACUUCUCCAUUGGUGGUGGUGUAAUGUCCCUGAACAAUUUUCAGGGAUCCAGGAGAAAAAAACACUAUUCAUAAGCAAAGGAUAAACUAUGGGAGUGGAAACACCGAGGAAAAGCAACUGCCUGAAUACAGCGGUUGAGGGGACAUGACAGAGGAGAGACUCUAAAUGAACACUCUAAUGCAAAUACUAUCAACAAAGCAAUGGGUUCAAAUCAAGAAAACAUCUAAUGCCAGUGGACUUACGCAUCAGCUAUGGGGGGUGGGGGGGAGGAAAAGAAAAUGAUCUAUGUCU
This is a non-coding RNA of Monodelphis domestica (gray short-tailed opossum), 1941 nucleotides long. The record is from RefSeq and is a predicted model, not a curated record. Lineage: Eukaryota; Metazoa; Chordata; Mammalia; Didelphimorphia; Didelphidae.